Molecule: transfer RNA, 76 nt
Filed under: Bacteroidota bacterium
Lineage: Bacteria; Pseudomonadati; Bacteroidota
Description: Bacteroidetes bacterium (activated sludge metagenome) tRNA-Phe
Rfam family: tRNA
About the family: Transfer RNA (tRNA) molecules are approximately 80 nucleotides in length. Their secondary structure includes four short double-helical elements and three loops (D, anti-codon, and T loops). Further hydrogen bonds mediate the characteristic L-shaped molecular structure. tRNAs have two regions of fundamental functional importance: the anti-codon, which is responsible for specific mRNA codon recognition, and the 3' end, to which the tRNAs corresponding amino acid is attached (by aminoacyl-tRNA synthetases). tRNAs cope with the degeneracy of the genetic code in two manners: having more than one tRNA (with a specific anti-codon) for a particular amino acid; and 'wobble' base-pairing, i.e. permitting non-standard base-pairing at the 3rd anti-codon position.
Source: RNAcentral
GGAGAUGUAGCACAGCCGGUCUAUGCGUUGGACUGAAAAUCCAAAGAAACAGGUUCGACUCCUGUCGUCUCCACCA